Molecule: non-coding RNA, 300 nt
Organism: Chlorocebus sabaeus (green monkey)
Lineage: Eukaryota; Metazoa; Chordata; Mammalia; Primates; Cercopithecidae
Source: Rfam
UGAUGUGAGGGCAAUCUGGCUGUGGCAUCUUUCACCCCAUUGAUCACCAAGGUUGAUUCAGCUGACCUGACUGGCUAGAUGGGUGUCCCCUUCCUCCCUCACCGUUCCAUGUGCGUCCCUCCCGAAGUUGCAUGCUCAGUUGAAGAGGAUGACUAUCCCCGAUAGAGGAGGACCGGUCUUAGUCAAGGGCAUACGAGUAGCUGCACUCCCCUGCUAGAACCUCCAAACAAGCUAGCUAGCUAGCUAGCUAGCUAGCUAUCUAGCUAGCUAUCUAUCUAUCUAUCUAUCUAUCUAUCUAAU